GCCCCGGUAGCUCAUCCGGUAGAGCGCAUGCCACGUACGCAGCAGCCCAGGUUCAAAUCCGGCCUGGGCC
RNAcentral lists this transfer RNA (70 nucleotides) under Albula goreensis. RNAcentral's name for it is "tRNA-OTHER". The record is from RNAcentral. Lineage: Eukaryota; Metazoa; Chordata; Actinopteri; Albuliformes; Albulidae.